UAGCAAUUCAUGGUCCUCCACAAGUAUACCUAUAAAUGUGUUCUGGAAGAUGGAACGACAGGCAGAAGCUUCCUUCAGCUUUUCCAGAGCCAUUUGAGGAGCAGCUGUGGUCUGACCUCGGUACAAGGGUUGGAAGCUGCCCCUCUCAGCAGAAACGCUGCCUUCAUUCACAGAACGCUGGGCACGGCUGCAUUUCUGCUUCCAAGACACGUUUAAAGGCAAAUGGAAGAUGUUACAGUCUGGCUCAGCGUUUUCCUGCUGUCUCUCCAAAGUGUCCUUCAAUCCA
This is a long non-coding RNA of Mus musculus (house mouse), 286 nucleotides long. RefSeq annotates it as predicted gene, 31014. Lineage: Eukaryota; Metazoa; Chordata; Mammalia; Rodentia; Muridae. The record is from RefSeq and is a predicted model, not a curated record. The transcript has 3 exons.